Molecule: ribosomal RNA, 794 nt
Filed under: Kriegella sp. TBL_69
Lineage: Bacteria; Pseudomonadati; Bacteroidota; Flavobacteriia; Flavobacteriales; Flavobacteriaceae
Description: bacterial SSU rRNA
Rfam family: Bacterial small subunit ribosomal RNA
Source: RNAcentral
CGCAACGCGUAUAGAAUCUGCCCCUUACCGGGGAAUAGCCCAGGGAAACUUGGAUUAAUGCCCCAUGGUAUAUGUAGACGGCAUCGUUUUCAUAUUAAAGGUUACGGUAAGGGAUGACUAUGCGUCCCAUUAGUUAGUUGGUAAGGUAACGGCUUACCAAGGCAGCGAUGGGUAGGGGCCCUGAGAGGGGGAUCCCCCACACUGGUACUGAGACACGGACCAGACUCCUACGGGAGGCAGCAGUGAGGAAUAUUGGACAAUGGGCGAAAGCCUGAUCCAGCCAUGCCGCGUGCAGGAAGACGGCCCUAUGGGUUGUAAACUGCUUUUGUACGGGAAGAAACCCGCCCACGUGUGGGCGAUUGACGGUACCGUAAGAAUAAGGACCGGCUAACUCCGUGCCAGCAGCCGCGGUAAUACGGAGGGUCCGAGCGUUAUCCGGAAUUAUUGGGUUUAAAGGGUCCGUAGGCGGGCCGUUAAGUCAGGGGUGAAAUGCUGCGGCUCAACCGUAGCACUGCCUUUGAUACUGGCGGUCUUGAGUUAUGGUGAAGUUGCCGGAAUAUGUGGUGUAGCGGUGAAAUGCAUAGAGAUCACAUAGAACACCGAUUGCGAAGGCAGGUGACUAACCAUAUACUGACGCUGAUGGACGAAAGCGUGGGGAGCGAACGGGAUUAGAUACCCCGGUAGUCCACGCCGUAAACGAUGGAUACUAGCUGUCCGGUACCUUGAGUACUGGGCGGCCAAGCGAAAGUGAUAAGUAUCCCACCUGGGGAGUACGUUCGCAAGAAUGAAACUCA